GUCGAACGCUGGCGGCGUGCUUAACACAUGCAAGUCGAACGGUAAGGCCCUUCGGGGUACACGAGUGGCGAACGGGUGAGUAACACGUGGGUAAUCUGCCCUGCACUUCGGGAUAAGCCUGGGAAACUGGGUCUAAUACCGGAUAUUCAGUUCCUGCCGCAUGGUGGGGGUUGGAAAGUUUUUCGGUGCAGGAUGAGCCCCCGGCCUAUCACCUUGUUGGUGGGGUAAUGGCCUACCAAGGCCACAACCGGUAGCCGGCCUGAGAGGGUGAUCGGCCACUCUGGGACUGAUACACCGCCCACACUCCUACGGGAGGCAGCAGCGGGGAAUAUUGCACAAUGGGCGAAAGCCUGAUGCAGCGACCCCCGCUUGGGGGAUGACGUUCUUCGGAUUGGCAACCCCUUCCAGUAGGACGAAAGCGCAGUGACGGUACCUGCAGAGAAGCANCCGGCCAANUACGUGCCAGCAGCCGCGGUAAUACGUAGGGUGCGAGCGUGUCCCGGAAUACUGGGCGUAAAGAGCUCGUAGGCGGUUUGUCGCGUCGUCCGUGAAAACUCGGAGCUUAACUCCGAGCUUGCGGGCGAUAUGGGCAGACUUGAGUACUACAGGGGAGACUGGAAUUCCUGGUGUAGCGGUGAAAUGCGCAGAUAUCAGGAGGAACACCGGUGGCGAAGGCGGGUCUCUGGGUAGUAACUGACGCUGAGGAGCGAAAGCAUGGGUAGCGAACAGGAUUAGAUACCCUGGUAGUCCAUGCCGUAAACGGUGGGCGCUAGGUGUGGGGUCCUUCCACGGAUUCCGUGCCGUAGCUAACGCAUUAAGCGCCCCGCCUGGGGAGUACGGCCGCAAGGCUAAAACUCAAAGGAAUUGACGGGGGCCCGCACAAGCGGCGGAGCAUGUGGAUUAAUUCGAUGCAACGCGAAGAACCUUACCUAGGCUUGACAUAUACAGGACGACGGCAGAGAUGUCGUUUCCCUUGUGGCUUGUAUACAGGUGGUGCAUGGUUGUCGUCAGCUCGUGUCGUGAGAUGUUGGGUUAAGUCCCGCAACGAGCGCAACCCCUGUCUCAUGUUGCCAGCACGUUAUGGUGGGGACUCGUGAGAGACUGCCGGGGUCAACUCGGAGGAAGGUGGGGAUGACGUCAAAUCAUCAUGCCCCUUAUGUCUAGGGCUUCACACAUGCUACAAUGGCUAGUACAGAGGGCUGCGAUACCGUGAGGUGGAGCGAAUCCCUUAAAGCUGGUCUCAGUUCGGAUUGGGGUCUGCAACUCGACCCCAUGAAGUCGGAGUCGCUAGUAAUCGCAGAUCAGCAACGCUGCGGUGAAUACGUUCCCGGGCCU
RNAcentral lists this ribosomal RNA (1335 nucleotides) under uncultured bacterium. RNAcentral describes it as "bacterial SSU rRNA". It matches the Rfam family "Bacterial small subunit ribosomal RNA", at positions 28 to 1381 of the family's 1533-position model. The record is from RNAcentral.